This is a long non-coding RNA of Sinocyclocheilus anshuiensis, 275 nucleotides long. RefSeq lists it as uncharacterized. The transcript is spliced from 3 exons. The record is from RefSeq and is a predicted model, not a curated record. NCBI's taxonomy places the organism in Eukaryota, Metazoa, Chordata, Actinopteri, Cypriniformes, Cyprinidae.
GAGUGUGCCUGGCAGAGCCCCUGUGUGCAUGAUGAGGAUUCAGGCCUGUGUCUGGUCGGGCUUCCUGCCCUGCAGGCUCUGUUGUACCACUGCCAGUUUUUUGAGAGCGUGGGCCGGAUGGUGAAGAGCUGUUACAUGGGCAGACAUGCCUUCACCCUCAGCCCCCCUCCACCGCCAGCCAAUGUCACCCAGGAGACUGAUCUGAAUGAUUCUCUGAAGCACUGGAGAGAGAUGCUUGCUCCUCUAAACCAAACUCAGGGCUCAGGAUCCAUGUC